Molecule: ribosomal RNA, 386 nt
Filed under: Megasphaera geminata
Lineage: Bacteria; Bacillati; Bacillota; Negativicutes; Veillonellales; Veillonellaceae
Description: bacterial SSU rRNA
Rfam family: Bacterial small subunit ribosomal RNA
Source: RNAcentral
AAAGCCUGACGGAGCAACGCCGCGUGAGUGAAGACGGCUUCGGGUUGUAAAGCUCUGUUAUAGGGGACGAACGGCCGGGUAGCGAAGAGGUAGCCGGCAUGACGGUACCGUAAGAGAAAGCCACGGCUAACUACGUGGCAGCAGCCGCGGUAAUACGUAGGUGGCAAGCGUUGUCGGGAAUGAUCGGGCGUAAAGGGCGCGCAGGCGGCUGUGUAAGUCUGUCUAAAAAGUGCGGGGCUAAACCCCGUGAGAGGAUGGAAACUGGACAGCUGAGAGUGUCGGAGAGGAAAGCGGAAUUCCUAGUGUAUCGGUGAAAUGCGUAGAUAUUAGGAGGAACACCGGUGGCGAAAGCGGCUUUCUGGACGACAACUGACGCUGAGGCGCGA